GAUGAACGCUAGCGGCAGGCCUAAUACAUGCAAGUCGAACGAGAUUAAGAGGCUUGCUUCUUAUGAAAGUGGCGCACGGGUGCGUAACGCGUAUGCAACCUACCUUAAUCAGGGGGAUAGCCCGAAGAAAUUCGGAUUAAGACCGCAUAAAAACACAGGAUAGCAUUAUCCAAUGUUCAAAUAUUUAUAGGAUUAAGAUGGGCAUGCGUGUCAUUAGCUAGUUGGCGGGGUAACGGCCCACCAAGGCGACGAUGACUAGGGGAUCUGAGAGGAUGACCCCCCACACUGGAACUGAGACACGGACCAGACUCCUACGGGAGGCAGCAGUAAGGAAUAUUGGUCAAUGGAGGGAACUCUGAACCAGCCAUGCCGCGUGCAGGAAGACAGCCCUCUGGGUCGUAAACUGCUUUUAUUCGGGAAUAAACCUUUCUACGUGUAGGAAGCUGAAUGUACCGAAGGAAUAAGGAUCGGCUAACUCCGUG
This 482-nucleotide ribosomal RNA is filed under the name uncultured bacterium. Its description in RNAcentral is "partial 16S ribosomal RNA". It matches the Rfam family "Bacterial small subunit ribosomal RNA", at positions 28 to 507 of the family's 1533-position model. The record is from RNAcentral.